RNAcentral lists this ribosomal RNA (293 nucleotides) under Dasyloricaria filamentosa (whiptail catfish). Its description in RNAcentral is "partial small subunit ribosomal RNA". It matches the Rfam family "Bacterial small subunit ribosomal RNA", at positions 1055 to 1496 of the family's 1533-position model. The record is from RNAcentral. Lineage: Eukaryota; Metazoa; Chordata; Actinopteri; Siluriformes; Loricariidae.
UCAGCUUACCCUGUGAAGGCCUAAUAGUAAGCAAAAUGAGUUAAACCCAAAACGUCAGGUCGAGGUGUAGCGCACGAGGUGGGAAGAAAUGGGCUACAUUUUCUACCACAGAAUACUACGAAUAAUGCCUUGAAACCGGCAUCUGAAGGAGGAUUUAGCAGUAAAAAGUAAAUAGAGUGUACUUUUGAAUUAGGCUCUGAGGCGCGCACACACCGCCCGUCACUCUCCCCAACACACCAAUUAAUUAUUUAUAAUAUUAAAACAACAACACGGGGAGGCAAGUCGUAACAUGG